GGGUUGUGAGGUUAAGCGACUAAGCGUACACGGUGGAUGCCCUGGCAGUCAGAGGCGAUGAAGGACGUGCUAAUCUGCGAUAAGCGUCGGUAAGGUGAUAUGAACCGUUAUAACCGGCGAUUUCCGAAUGGGGAAACCCAGUGUGUUUCGACACACUAUCAUUAACUGAAUCCAUAGGUUAAUGAGGCGAACCGGGGGAACUGAAACAUCUAAGUACCCCGAGGA
This 225-nucleotide ribosomal RNA is filed under the name Escherichia coli. Its description in RNAcentral is "partial 23S ribosomal RNA". It matches the Rfam family "Bacterial large subunit ribosomal RNA", at positions 1 to 217 of the family's 2925-position model. The record is from RNAcentral. RNAcentral also lists the same sequence under 1 other name. Lineage: Bacteria; Pseudomonadati; Pseudomonadota; Gammaproteobacteria; Enterobacterales; Enterobacteriaceae.